Molecule: ribosomal RNA, 303 nt
Filed under: uncultured bacterium
Lineage: Bacteria
Description: partial 16S ribosomal RNA
Rfam family: Bacterial small subunit ribosomal RNA
Source: RNAcentral
AGCAGUAGCCGCGGUAAUACGGAGGGGGCUAGCGUUGUUCGGAAUUACUGGGCGUAAAGCGCACGUAGGCGGCUUGGUAAGUUAGAGGUGAAAGCCUGGAGCUCAACUCCAGAAUUGCCUUUAAGACUGCCGAGCUAGCAGGUGAGAGAGGUAAGUGGAAUUCCGAGUGUAGAGGUGAAAUUCGUAGAUAUUCGGAAGAACACCAGUGGCGAAGGCGGCUUACUGGCUCAUACUGGACGCUGAGGUGCGAAAGCGUGGGGAGCAAACAGGAUUAGAUACCCCUGUAGUCCCUGUCUCUUAUAA